RNAcentral lists this small nuclear RNA (97 nucleotides) under Pseudo-nitzschia pungens. Its description in RNAcentral is "partial Dictyostelium signal recognition particle". Lineage: Eukaryota; Bacillariophyta; Bacillariophyceae; Bacillariales; Bacillariaceae. The record is from RNAcentral.
CCGGGGAAACGAUGCGCCUCAAGCUGGUCGACAGCGACGACGACGACGAUAACGAUAAGGAUAAGGAUAAGGAUAAGGACGAAAAUGACCAAGAUGA